Molecule: long non-coding RNA, 232 nt
Organism: Tarenaya hassleriana
Lineage: Eukaryota; Viridiplantae; Streptophyta; Magnoliopsida; Brassicales; Cleomaceae
Exons: 2
Source: RefSeq, a predicted model, not a curated record
UUGGGAAGAGCUCCAGUACUGCUGCUGCUGCUAUUACUGCCCCGUCGUGUUACGGAUCUGAGACCUCAUAACCUUGUCAUCUACCACAGACCAGAUCUUCUGGAUCUAGUUAGAGAUAACGUGAGCAAGAGAAGCUUGCGAUGCGCCGAUACACAUGUUCUGGACCUGGUCGAAUUGAUCUUAAGACCUCCAAAUCUCGAGCCUCCACUCGUCCCAGAGCAGAGUGAUGCGG